Molecule: ribosomal RNA, 497 nt
Filed under: uncultured bacterium
Lineage: Bacteria
Description: partial 16S ribosomal RNA
Rfam family: Bacterial small subunit ribosomal RNA
Source: RNAcentral
GAUGAACGCUGGCGGCGUGCCUAAUACAUGCAAGUCGAGCGAACGGACGAGAAGCUUGCUUCUCUGAUGUUAGCGGCGGACGGGUGAGUAACACGUGGAUAACCUACCUAUAAGACUGGGAUAACUUCGGGAAACCGGAGCUAAUACCGGAUAAUAUUUUGAACCGCAUGGUUCAAAAGUGAAAGACGGUCUUGCUGUCACUUCUAGAUGGAUCCGCGCUGCAUUAGCUAGUUGGUAAGGUAACGGCUUACCAAGGCAACGAUGCAUAGCCGACCUGAGAGGGUGAUCGGCCACACUGGAACUGAGACACGGUACAGACUCCUACGGGAGGCAGCAGUAGGGAAGCUUCCGCAAUGGGCGAAAGCCUGACGAAGCAACGCCGCGUGAGUGAUGAAGGGCUUCGGAUCGUAAAACUCUGUUAUUAGGGAAGAACAUAUGUGUAAGUAACUGUGCACAUCUUGACGGUACCUAAUCAGAAAGCCACGGCUAACUACGUG